GCCCUCCCAGAAUAGUUCAGUUGGUAGAGCACGAAACUCUUAAUCUCAGGGACAUGGGUUCGAGCUCCACGUUGGGCA
Non-coding RNA from Podarcis lilfordi (Lilford's wall lizard), 78 nucleotides. The record is from the annotation of a GenBank genome assembly. Lineage: Eukaryota; Metazoa; Chordata; Lepidosauria; Squamata; Lacertidae.